CAACUACUCCCUCUGUCCGGAAAUACUUGUCCUAGAAAUGGAUAAAAAUUGAUGUAUCUAAAACUAAAAUAGGUCUAGAUACAUCCAUUUCUACGACAAGUAUUUCCGGACGGAGUACAUU
Molecule: non-coding RNA, 121 nt
Organism: Triticum aestivum (bread wheat)
Lineage: Eukaryota; Viridiplantae; Streptophyta; Magnoliopsida; Poales; Poaceae
Source: Rfam